AGGUCAUCCAUACUUGACACACUCCACACGAGAGCAAACUAAGGAGCCCGAGACGCCGACUCCUACAUCUGAGUCGUCGAUUCUCCUCCUCUUCUGCAGGUAUUUGACGUAGAGCGUGCGUCGUGUACUCCAAAGCCUCUGGCCCUCCUCGCAACUCCGCAAGCCUCCUGGUAGCAGAUUACGUGCUUCAUCAGCUGGCGCCGUCUGUGGGACUAACGAACUACAAUAUCCCGUCGUAAUCGCGAAAUUUUCUUUGAAAGUUCGGCUCGAUUCCCUUGGGGUGAAUCGCUGACUUUGUGUCAAGGAAUCGUUGAUUCAUACCAACAAUCGCCAACUCCACCUAGUGAGUCGUCGAUUCCAGGAUAAGUCUGCUAGGUAAGAAUGUUGUCCACGACUUGGUUCAAAAUGCCCAUAAGUUCACUACAAAAAAAAGGGCCUUAUAUGGCGGAUUUCCCCCAUCUAAAGUGAUAGUCGGCGGAAAUCCGCCAUCUAUUAAACAUCCCCAUUUUCCACCAAAAAUUGUAUAGAUGGCGGAAAUCCGUCAUCUAAUCUGAAAAUUUUCGCGGGAACUGAAAAUUUUAAGAUGGCGGAUUUCCGCCAGAUAAAAUAUGGUGCGGAAAAAGUUUAGAGCCAAUUCAUUGAUGGUGGUUAAUUUUAUUGAUGACGAAUGUCCG
RNAcentral lists this long non-coding RNA (674 nucleotides) under Zostera marina. RNAcentral describes it as "long non-coding RNA (ZMAR_LNC005276)". The record is from RNAcentral. Lineage: Eukaryota; Viridiplantae; Streptophyta; Magnoliopsida; Alismatales; Zosteraceae.